Molecule: non-coding RNA, 30 nt
Filed under: Macaca fascicularis (crab-eating macaque)
Lineage: Eukaryota; Metazoa; Chordata; Mammalia; Primates; Cercopithecidae
Also listed under: 1 other name
Source: RNAcentral
UGAAACUAGGAUUCACCCCUUAGAGGUAGC